GAGAUACCCUUAUGGGGCAAGACUUGCUUCAGUGGGGCUUUGGUGCUCACCGAGUCUGCCCCCUGAGUGUGUCCCU
Molecule: non-coding RNA, 76 nt
Organism: Myotis davidii
Lineage: Eukaryota; Metazoa; Chordata; Mammalia; Chiroptera; Vespertilionidae
Source: Rfam